UUUUAGUUGAAUAUUUAUCUUUUCAAACUUUCGUAUUUUUAUUAAAUUUGUUUGGUGAGGCUAGAAAAUUGUUGUCAGAUAUUCGCCAUUUCACAUCUUACGCUAUUUUUUCCAUAUGGGCUGUGGGCUAAACGAGUGUAUUGUAUUUCAAAUAAAAAUCCAUCGUUGAUGAGAAAGCAUUUAUAUUUAUCUAUUUGAUCUCACUCUUUUCUUGAUUUAGAUAAUAUAUGUAAACAUUUAAUGAUGGGGGAAAUUACCAGGUGGAUGAAUAAUGGCAUAUGGUGGCCAGUUAAAAACAAUUUCGAAGCUCAUGAAUCAAAUUUUCAAUGA
RNAcentral lists this long non-coding RNA (330 nucleotides) under Medicago truncatula (barrel medic). RNAcentral's name for it is "lncRNA gene26252". Lineage: Eukaryota; Viridiplantae; Streptophyta; Magnoliopsida; Fabales; Fabaceae. The record is from RNAcentral.